This 622-nucleotide ribosomal RNA is filed under the name uncultured bacterium. Its description in RNAcentral is "bacterial SSU rRNA". It matches the Rfam family "Bacterial small subunit ribosomal RNA", at positions 338 to 1418 of the family's 1533-position model. The record is from RNAcentral.
CCUACGGGAGGCAGCAGUGGGGAAUUUUGGACAAUGGGCGAAAGCCUGAUCCAGCAAUGCCGCGUGCAGGAAGAAGGCCUUCGGGUUGUAAACUGCUUUUGUACGGAACGAAACGGUCUGCUUUAAUACAGUGGGCUAAUGACGGUACCGUAAGAAUAAGCACCGGCUAACUACGUGCCAGCAGCCGCGGUAAUACGUAGGGUGCGAGCGUUAAUCGGAAUUACUGGGCGUAAAGCGUGCGCAGGCGGUUAUAUAAGACAGUUGUGAAAUCCCCGGGCUCAACCUGGGAAUUGCAUCUGUGACUGUAUAGCUAGAGUACGGUAGAGGGGGAUGGAAUUCCGCGUGUAGCAGUGAAAUGCGUAGAUAUGCGGAGGAACACCGAUGGCGAAGGCAAUCCCCUGGACCUGUACUGACGCUCAUGCACGAAAGCGUGGGGAGCAAACAGGAUUAGAUACCCUGGUAGUCCACGCCCUAAACGAUGUCAACUGGUUGUUGGGUGCAUUAGUACUCAGUAACGAAGCUAACGCGUGAAGUUGACCGCCUGGGGAGUACGGCCGCAAGGUUGAAACGUCAAAGAGUAAGUGCGNGNGAGAGCGACGACGACGACGACGGAGGGAGGAGG